AUACUAAACCUGGCAGGGGAGAUACCAUGAUACCAGGUGGUUUUCCCAGCUCGUCCAUUGCACUCCAGAUGUGCUGACCCCUGCGAUUUCCCCAAAUGUGGCAAACUCAACUGCGUAAUUUGUGGUAGUGGGGGACUGCGUUCGUGCUCUCCCCUA
This is a small nuclear RNA of Leptonychotes weddellii (Weddell seal), 156 nucleotides long. RefSeq annotates it as U1 spliceosomal RNA. Lineage: Eukaryota; Metazoa; Chordata; Mammalia; Carnivora; Phocidae. The record is from RefSeq and is a predicted model, not a curated record.